UGGGGAAUAUUGCACAAUGGGGGAAACCCUGAUGCAGCGACGCCGCGUGAGCGAAGAAGGCCUUCGGGUCGUAAAGCUCUUUUAUGAGGGAAGAUAAUGACGGUACCUCAAGAAAAAGCCCCGGCUAACUACGUGCCAGCAGCCGCGGUAAUACGUAGGGUGCGAGCGUUGUCCGGAAUUACUGGGCGUAAAGAGCUCGUAGGCGGUUUGUCACGUCGUCUGUGAAAUCCUAGGGCUUAACCCUGGACGUGCAGGCGAUACGGGCUGACUUGAGUACUACAGGGGAGACUGGAAUUUCUGGUGUAGCGGUGGAAUGCACAGAUAUCAGGAAGAACACCGAUGGCGAAGGCAGGUCUCUGGGUAGUAACUGACGCUGAGGAGCGAAAGCAUGGGUAGCGAACAGG
This 404-nucleotide ribosomal RNA is filed under the name Verrucomicrobiota bacterium. RNAcentral's name for it is "Verrucomicrobia bacterium partial 16S ribosomal RNA". It matches the Rfam family "Bacterial small subunit ribosomal RNA", at positions 355 to 776 of the family's 1533-position model. Lineage: Bacteria; Pseudomonadati; Verrucomicrobiota. The record is from RNAcentral.